Molecule: ribosomal RNA, 253 nt
Filed under: uncultured bacterium
Lineage: Bacteria
Description: partial 16S ribosomal RNA
Rfam family: Bacterial small subunit ribosomal RNA
Source: RNAcentral
UACGUAGGGUGCAAACGUUGUCCGGAAUUAUUGGGCGUAAAGAGCUCGUAGGCGGUUUGUUGCGUCGGCUGUGAAAUCCCGAGGCUCAACCUCGGGUCUGCAGUCGAUACGAGCAAACUAGAGUGUUGCAGGGGAGACUGGAAUUCCUGGUGUAGCGGUGAAAUGCGCAGAUAUCAGGAGGAACACCGGUGGCGAAGGCGGGUCUCUGGGCCGAUAUUGACGCUGAGGAGCGAAAGCGUGGGGAGCAAACAGG